This 382-nucleotide ribosomal RNA is filed under the name uncultured bacterium. Its description in RNAcentral is "bacterial SSU rRNA". It matches the Rfam family "Bacterial small subunit ribosomal RNA", at positions 29 to 414 of the family's 1533-position model. The record is from RNAcentral.
AUUGAACGCUGGCGGCAUGCUUUACACAUGCAAGUCGAACGGUAACAGGCCGCAAGGUGCUGACGAGUGGCGAACGGGUGAGUAAUGUAUCGGAACGUGCCCAGUCGUGGGGGAUAACGCAGCGAAAGCUGUGCUAAUACCGCAUACGAUCUAUGGAUGAAAGCGGGGGACCGUAAGGCCUCGCGCGAUUGGAGCGGCCGAUAUCAGAUUAGGUAGUUGGUGGGGUAAAGGCCUACCAAGCCGACGAUCUGUAGCUGGCCUGAGAGGACGACCAGCCACACUGGGACUGAGACACGGCCCAGACUCCUACGGGAGGCAGCAGUGGGGAAUUUUGGACAAUGGGCGCAAGCCUGAUCCAGCAAUGCCGCGUGCAGGACGAAGG